AGUGAACGCUGGCGGUAGGCCUAACACAUGCAAGUCGAACGGCAGCACAGUAAGAGCUUGCUCUUACGGGUGGCGAGUGGCGGACGGGUGAGGAAUACAUCGGAAUCUACUUUUUCGGGGGGGAUAACGUAGGGAAACUUACGCUAAUACCGCAUACGUCCUACGGGUGAAAGCAGGGGAUCUUCGGACCUUGCGCGAUUGAAUGAGCCGAUGUCGGAUUAGCUAGUUGGCGGGGUAAAGGCCCACCAAGGCGACGAUCCGUAGCUGGUCUGAGAGGAUGAUCAGCCACACUGGAACUGAGACACGGUCCAGACUCCUACGGGAGGCAGCAGUGGGGAAUAUUGGACAAUGGGCGCAAGCCUGAUCCAGCCAUACCGCGUGGGUGAAGAAGGCCUUCGGGUUGUAAAGCCCUUUUGUUGGGAAAGAAAAGCAGCAGGUUAAUACCCCGCUGUUCUGACGGUACCCAAAGAAUAAGCACCGGCUAACUUCGUG
This 492-nucleotide ribosomal RNA is filed under the name uncultured bacterium. Its description in RNAcentral is "partial 16S ribosomal RNA". It matches the Rfam family "Bacterial small subunit ribosomal RNA", at positions 29 to 507 of the family's 1533-position model. The record is from RNAcentral.